ACCCCAAACCGACACAGGUGGUCAGGUAGAGAAUACCAAGGCGCUUGAGAGAACUCGGGUGAAGGAACUAGGCAAAAUGGUGCCGUAACUUCGGGAGAAGGCACGCUGACACGUAGGUGAAGUGAUUUACUCAUGGAGCUGAAGUCAGUCGAAGAUACCAGCUGGCUGCAACUGUUUAUUAAAAACACAGCACUGUGCAAACACGAAAGUGGACGUAUACGGUGUGACGCCUGCCCGGUGCCGGAAGGUUAAUUGAUGGGGUCAGCGCAAGCGAAGCUCCUGAUCGAAGCCCCGGUAAACGGCGGCCGUAACUAUAACGGUCCUAAGGUAGCGAAAUUCCUUGUCGGGUAAGUUCCGACCUGCACGAAUGGCGUAAUGAUGGCCAGGCUGUCUCCACCCGAGACUCAGUGAAAUUGAACUCGCUGUGAAGAUGCAGUGUACCCGCGGCAAGACGGAAAGACCCCGUGAACCUUUACUAUAGCUUGACACUGAACAUUGAGCCUUGAUGUGUAGGAUAGGUGGGAGGCUUUGAAGUGUGGACGCCAGUCUGCAUGGAGCCGACCUUGAAAUACCACCCUUUAAUGUUUGAUGUUCUAACGUGGACCCGUUACCCGGGUUGCGGACAGUGUCUGGUGGGUAGUUUGACUGGGGCGGUCUCCUCCUAAAGAGUAACGGAGGAGCACGAAGGUUGGCUAAUCCUGGUCGGACAUCAGGAGGUUAGUGCAAUGGCAUAAGCCAGCUUGACUGCGAGCGUGACGGCGCGAGCAGGUGCGAAAGCAGGUCAUAGUGAUCCGGUGGUUCUGAAUGGAAGGGCCAUCGCUCAACGGAUAAAAGGUACUCCGGGGAUAACAGGCUGAUACCGCCCAAGAGUUCAUAUCGACGGCGGUGUUUGGCACCUCGAUGUCGGCUCAUCACAUCCUGGGGCUGAAGUAGGUCCCAAGGGUAUGGCUGUUCGCCAUUUAAAGUGGUACGCGAGCUGGGUUUAGAACGUCGUGAGACAGUUCGGUCCCUAUCUGCCGUGGGCGCUGGAGAACUGAGGGGGGCUGCUCCUAGUACGAGAGGACCGGAGUGGACGCAUCACUGGUGUUCGGGUUGUCAUGCCAAUGGCACUGCCCGGUAGCUAAAUGCGGAAGAGAUAAGUGCUGAAAGCAUCUAAGCACGAAACUUGCCCCGAGAUGAGUUCUCCCUGAGACUUAGAGUCUCCUGAAGGAACGUUGAAGACGACGACGUUGAUAGGCCGGGUGUGUAAGCGCAGCGAUGCGUUGAGCUAACCGGUACUAAUGAACCGUGAGGCUUAACCUU
RNAcentral lists this ribosomal RNA (1302 nucleotides) under Salmonella enterica. RNAcentral's name for it is "partial 23S ribosomal RNA". It matches the Rfam family "Bacterial large subunit ribosomal RNA", at positions 1646 to 2925 of the family's 2925-position model. The record is from RNAcentral. Lineage: Bacteria; Pseudomonadati; Pseudomonadota; Gammaproteobacteria; Enterobacterales; Enterobacteriaceae.